CGUCUGCUCGUUUACAGGCUUAUACCAUAAAAAAUGAAACUAUUAAAGAUACAAAAAGUCAAAUUAUUAGCAUAUUUGUAAAUAAUAUGUUUUAAGUAAAAAUAAAAAUGGCUAAGUAUGGUAAUUAGAAACGUCAAACCUGACAAUGGCCGAAGAUUAUUUUGUAGACUAAUUUAAACACCAAUUUACUUAAUUUAAUUAGAAUUAAACAUUCAAAUCAUUACCGUAAUUAAUGUGAUAUAUAAAGAAAAUACUAAUUAUUAACUUAAAUAGGAAAAUACAUAGAGAGUUUUAAAUACCUACUUCAUUCCUCUGAUUAAUUACAUAAGUGAUUUACGAUAAUGGUGCUUAUAGUGUGAGAAAUAGAGUUAUAUUUUAAUUGACUAAUGGUCUAAUGCACGAAUCAACCUCUCCUGUACCCUUAGUAUGAGUUUGCUUUACGUUUAACACAUUGAACGCCGUGGUGGUCACCGGUGACCGACGUUAGCGGAGGAUUUGCCUUCAACAGUUUUCUAUUGGCAGUCAAAGACUUAAGGUAAUCGAAACGAAAGCGCGUUCGGUUGUCGGAUUGGCCGGCAGAGCGCGUUCGGUUGUCGGAUUGGCCGGCAGAUCGCGUUCGGUUGUCGGAUUGGCCGGCAGAGCGCGUUCGGUUGUCGGAUUGGCCGGCAGAGCGCGUUCGGUUGUCGGAUUGGCCGGCUCGAAUGGACCAACCAAUCAAAGGGCUUAGUACGAGUUUGUGUUACGUAUAACGAGAUUAAAAUGAGAGCGCGGGCUGCACUCUGAUUGGUUGGGUCAUUCGCGCCGGCAAAUCAACGAACGCCCUCUCAUUACGUUUUCGUUCAACGUAAGAGUCAUCUAAUGGUUACUUAACCCAGACCUUAGCAAUUGCUUUUCAUACAAAAUUGUUACUUAGGAAUAGUUUAAGUUAUCAUUAAAUGACUCUAAGUACGGCAGUAAGGGUUCAGAGCGCCGAACGCGCUCUCGUUUCGAUUACUUUAAACGUAAAGCAAACUCAUACUAAGAUUACUGAACAUAAAUGUCCUUAAGUUUAUCUAUCAUAAAUGACACUUAACGACAUUUCUCUUUUCACCAACCUAUAAGUCACACCUACCCAUGAAGCAAGUACAAAGAGGAGAUGCCAUAAUGUGAUUGUGCACUGUGACACAAACACGGCCCUGUCCAAUGAUAUUAUAAGUAAACAGGUGUAGAUAGGUUAUAAGCGCUAAGAAACUAUCGUUUUCUUUUUCUUCUCCUCUAAUAACAUCUUCUGAUUUAUUUCGUUGCGGGAUCCAAGACAGUUAUUCAUAUCCCUGGGACGCGCCGGACUUCAGUGUUCCGGUGUUUUCAUGGUUGUAUCUACUGUAGAUCCUGGUGCAUAGAAGUUGCAGCGGUAUGGGAGGUUGUGGCGGGCUUGUCCCAUAAAAAAAGCGCUCAGAAAGUGACACAUUAAAAUGUGGACAAUUGGCAACGUUUUUGUAGUAUGGGACCGCUAGAUGAAAAUAGAGAGGGGCGUGGUUUGUAACGUCCCGCGCUCCCCGUAAAGUAUCACGCAUUAUGUUAAAGGGAAAUCCAGUUAUGACAUCUCCUCUUUGUAUUUGCUUCAUGCACCCAACAGUACAAGUAAGGGGUUAGUUAAGUGCUUCCUCAUGCUAAGUAACUCUUAGAUAAGUGGCAGUUUAUGGGUGAUUGUCGAAAACGGCCAUAAUUUUAAUAAAUUCACUCGCUCCGUAUUAGAUUGGACUCGUAAUAUAACUGAGGAAAAUGUGGGUUACAUUGUAUACAUAAUUAUGUGCACCUCUGCCUACCCCUUCUGCGAUUAAAAGACGCGAUUUUAUGUUAUGUAUUUCAUAAUGACGAUUUAGGGAACAGAGAGUAAAGUUCCCUAAGAAAAGGAGGAUCCUCCGACCAGGUGAGGUGAUCAGCCUGGCGGGCUUUCUGCCCAACUGUUGUUCGUUGGGAUUUUCUAUCCGUGUUAAUUCGCAUGUAAACUUCACAUGUGCGAUGCAGGAUAUUUAUGACGUCAUCCGUUGAUUUGCUCGUCGAUAGUCUAUGUGCGACUUCUGUCAUCUGUCACUUGUCAGGUGUCGCCACAACGAUAAUUAUAUAUUUUUAUAUUAAUAUUAUUUUGACACAAUAGGGAUGAUGUCGGGGUAUGAAAAAUUAAAAUGUAUUCAGUCCGUCAGUUAGGUAAUGAAAAAAUAUUAGACACGUAUUUUUUUUAUUUUGUCGUAUAAGAUAACAAUACUUAGAUAAAACGAAUCAAAGUUUAGAAGUGCGAACUUUUGAGGGGCGAAAAUCCACCAAUCGCGCCUACGCGGGGUAUCACACACCCGUAAGAUGAGAAAGGGUGGGAAAAUGCUUUCUACUGCACGGUACAAUGAUAUUAAUACAGUAACUAUGUCUUAUGCGAUAUGAAACGAAAGAUAUUAUAGAAAAACAUUGAUUAAUGUAGUGUAGACAUUGUCCAGUCAAUUGAUUUUAGCGGUGACUGUCCAGGCGACACACGUACUUAGGUAUCGUCAUGAGCUAAUGUUCACAUGUAAACAGCAGCUCAUGUAAAGAGAUUGUCCAGUCAACUGAUGGUAGCGGUGACUGUCCAGGCGACACACGUACUUAGGUAUCGUCAUGAGCUAAUGUCCACAUGUAGUGUAGAGAAUCGACUUUUUAUAACAAUAUAUACGUAUAAUUAUGUUUUAUAGUUUUUAUAUUUGUAAUAUGCACAAAAAAAAACGUUGCCCCACACUAGGAUUUUCUCCUGUAUCGUAGGUGCGUUUACAAACAUACAAGUUCACAUACACAUGCCACCCAGACCCAAAACAACAAUUUGUGGAUCACACAAAGAGUUGCUCCGUGCGGGAGAACGCUCUACGUCAACCAUGCAGAAAAGUGAUUGUUAAGGUAAGCGUUCACAGGCCCGCAUCGUACGCAUUCCGUAUGACGUCAUCAGUACGCAUCGCAUGUAGGCAUUGCCGAUGAUGCGGUCCGUACGAUGCGGAUCAGUGGACGCAGUUGUAUGAGUUUCUAUACAAGACAAACUAAAAUCCGUUGCCUGUGGACGCUUACCUUAUAUGUGCAUAAAGGCGUAUCUUUAUGUUAUUAGUUUAAUUGAAAAAAGGUUACCAGAUAUAAGAGGCUUUGAAUUAUAAUUUAUUUUUGCAAAAAUCUUUAUUUAUUUUAUUUCUUAUUUUGACCAAUAUCGUACAAAUGCUUGCAUAUCAAACUAUUUUAAAUUUAAAAGAAAAUAUCCAUCCUCGGGCCUUGAAUAGUGUGAUUUAUGAUUUUUUCCGAAUUUCUACUGAAUUAUUAGUUUUUAAGGUUUAUUUUUAAUUGAAUUUUAUAUAAUUAAAGAUGUGUAUAUGUAAAGAUAUAUGAGUUGCGAUUGUUUUAUUCACAAAUGCAACUAUGAAGCACAAAUACA
Molecule: long non-coding RNA, 3418 nt
Organism: Spodoptera frugiperda (fall armyworm)
Lineage: Eukaryota; Metazoa; Arthropoda; Insecta; Lepidoptera; Noctuidae
Exons: 2
Source: RefSeq, a predicted model, not a curated record